UGGUCACUUACCAAGGCUAUCAGAAAUGCAGUUUCUGGUCUGCUGUGGAGAUGACCAUAAAGUAAAGCAAUCCCAGCUGGUUGUAGUUGUUCUUUGUAACACAACUGGUUGGGAACACUU
Molecule: small nucleolar RNA, 120 nt
Organism: Pristis pectinata (smalltooth sawfish)
Lineage: Eukaryota; Metazoa; Chordata; Chondrichthyes; Rhinopristiformes; Pristidae
Product: small nucleolar RNA SNORA32
Exons: 1
Source: RefSeq, a predicted model, not a curated record